GGGUUCGGCCGGGAUUUGAACCUGGACCUCUCGCACCCUAAGCGAGAUCAUACCCUAGACCACCGAACC
This 69-nucleotide transfer RNA is filed under the name Araneus ventricosus. RNAcentral's name for it is "tRNA-Pro". The record is from RNAcentral. Lineage: Eukaryota; Metazoa; Arthropoda; Arachnida; Araneae; Araneidae.